AUCAUUAAAUUUCUUUUGAAAAAAUUUCAAAUUGAAUAUUUCAAUUUUGCCUUUUCUGUUAGAAAAUAAUACUAUAAAAAAUAAGAUAUAAUUUGUUUAAAUUGAGUAUAAUCUAAUAACAUUAUAUUUUUUGGUUAUUUUUUAUACAAUAUAAAAAUAAUAAAUAUAAUUAUAACAUUUUAUUCUUAUCCGGUUAACAGGAUGGAGAUAUGCAGCAUUUGUAGGUACAUUUGUAGGAACUAUAGGAAUAUUUUGUUAUUUUACAAUGAUAAGUCCUAUGAUUAAUCCAGAGCCAUAUA
RNA transcript from Apis cerana (Asiatic honeybee), 299 nucleotides. RefSeq lists it as uncharacterized. The record is from RefSeq and is a predicted model, not a curated record. NCBI's taxonomy places the organism in Eukaryota, Metazoa, Arthropoda, Insecta, Hymenoptera, Apidae.